This 243-nucleotide unclassified non-coding RNA is filed under the name Hevea brasiliensis (rubber tree). Lineage: Eukaryota; Viridiplantae; Streptophyta; Magnoliopsida; Malpighiales; Euphorbiaceae. The record is from RNAcentral.
ACAAGCUUCACCAAGUGGAGAUAGAGGCAUAGUUUCGCCAUCAGAUGAUAUACCCAUUAAUACAAGAGAGGGAACCUCAGCUUCUUUUUGAAGAGGAUAUAAUGCAGAAACUAAUGACUUCAGAUUCGGCCGCUCACGAGGCUCAUACUGGAGACAUCUCGAAGCAAUCCGUACCAAUUCAGUUCCGUCAUCAGUAGAAAAUUGACCCUCCAAGCAAGAAUCAGUUAGCAUCUCAAGAUUCCG